GAUGAACGCUAGCGGCAGGCCUAAUACAUGCAAGUCGAACGGGAUCCAGAUCAAAGCUUGCUUUGGUCUGGUGAGAGUGGCGCACGGGUGCGUAACGCGUGAGCAACCUACCCUUGUCAGGGGGAUAGCCCGGCGAAAGUCGGAUUAAUACCGCAUGACAUCAUUGAGAGGCAUCUUUCGAUGAUCAAAGAUUUAUCGGACAAGGAUGGGCUCGCGUGACAUUAGCUAGUUGGUAAGGUAACGGCUUACCAAGGCUGCGAUGUCUAGGGGCUCUGAGAGGAGAAUCCCCCAGACUGGUACUGAGACACGGACCAGACUCCUACGGGAGGCAGCAGUAAGGAAGAUUGGUCAAUGGACGGAAGUCUGAACCAGCCAUGCCGCGUGCAGGAGGACGGCCCUAUGGGUUGUAAACUGCUUUUAUACGGGAACAAACGUCGGUACGUGUACCGGUCUGAGUGUACCGUAAGAAUAAGGAUCGGCUAACUCCGUG
This 490-nucleotide ribosomal RNA is filed under the name uncultured bacterium. RNAcentral's name for it is "partial 16S ribosomal RNA". It matches the Rfam family "Bacterial small subunit ribosomal RNA", at positions 28 to 507 of the family's 1533-position model. The record is from RNAcentral.